GAUGAACGCUGGCGGCGUGCCUAACACAUGCAAGUCGAGCGGGGUGAUGGUGCUUGCACUAUCACUUAGCGGCGGACGGGUGAGUAAUGCUUAGGAAUCUGCCUAUUAGUGGGGGACAACAUCUCGAAAGGGAUGCUAAUACCGCAUACGUCCUACGGGAGAAAGCAGGGGAUCACUUGUGACCUUGCGCUAAUAGAUGAGCCUAAGUCGGAUUAGCUAGUUGGUGGGGUAAAGGCCUACCAAGGCGACGAUCUGUAGCGGGUCUGAGAGGAUGAUCCGCCACACUGGGACUGAGACACGGCCCAGACUCCUACGGGAGGCAGCAGUGGGGAAUAUUGGACAAUGGGGGGAACCCUGAUCCAGCCAUGCCGCGUGUGUGAAGAAGGCCUUAUGGUUGUAAAGCACUUUAAGCGAGGAGGAGGCUCUUUUGGUUAAUACCCAAGAUGAGUGGACGUUACUCGCAGAAUAAGCACCGGCUAACUCUGUGCCAGCAGCCGCCGUAA
Molecule: ribosomal RNA, 503 nt
Filed under: uncultured bacterium
Lineage: Bacteria
Description: partial 16S ribosomal RNA
Rfam family: Bacterial small subunit ribosomal RNA
Source: RNAcentral